RNAcentral lists this microRNA (21 nucleotides) under Medicago truncatula (barrel medic). Lineage: Eukaryota; Viridiplantae; Streptophyta; Magnoliopsida; Fabales; Fabaceae. The record is from RNAcentral.
UGAGCCAGGAUGGCUUGCCGG